GUGCUCACUUCAGCAGCACAUAUACUAAAGUUGUAAUGAUAGAGAGGAGAUUAGCAUGGCCUCUGCACGAGGACAACACACGACUUCAUGAGACAAUCCAUAUUUCU
This is a small nuclear RNA of Lepus europaeus (European hare), 107 nucleotides long. NCBI's taxonomy places the organism in Eukaryota, Metazoa, Chordata, Mammalia, Lagomorpha, Leporidae. The record is from RefSeq and is a predicted model, not a curated record.